GACGAACGCUGGCGGCGUGCUUAACACAUGCAAGUCGAACGAUGAAGCUAGAGCUUGCUCUGGUGGAUUAGUGGCGAACGGGUGAGUAACACGUGAGUAACCUGCCCCGAACUCUGGGAUAACUGCUGGAAACGGUAGCUAAUACCGGAUAUGACCAAUGAAGGCAUCUUCUGUUGGUGGAAAGAAUUUCGGUUCGGGAUGGACUCGCGGCCUAUCAGCUUGUUGGUGAGGUAACGGCUCACCAAGGCGACGACGGGUAGCCGGCCGGAGAGGGUGAUCGACCACACUGGGACUGAGACACGGGCCAGACUCCUACGGGAGGCAGCAGUGGGGAAUAUUGCACAAUGGGCGCAAGCCUGAUGCAGCAACGCCGCGUGAGGGACGACGGCCUUCGGGUUGUAAACCUCUUUUAGUAGGGAAGAAGCGAAAGUGACGGUACCUGCAGAAAAAGCACCGGCUAACUACGUGCCAGCCGCCGCAGUAA
This 484-nucleotide ribosomal RNA is filed under the name uncultured bacterium. Its description in RNAcentral is "partial 16S ribosomal RNA". It matches the Rfam family "Bacterial small subunit ribosomal RNA", at positions 28 to 523 of the family's 1533-position model. The record is from RNAcentral.